RNAcentral lists this long non-coding RNA (913 nucleotides) under Equus caballus (horse). RNAcentral describes it as "lncRNA (ENSECAG00000032668.2)". The record is from RNAcentral. Lineage: Eukaryota; Metazoa; Chordata; Mammalia; Perissodactyla; Equidae.
GGACGAGCGAGCUGCUGUGUCUCCACGUGCUUCAACUUCCUCUUGCCUAAAAUGCAAACGGUGAUAACCGUACCCCCAACAAUAAGGGUGGUUGUGAAUAUCAAACAAGUUAAUACAAGCCCCAGAGUUCAAGGUGACAGACCUGCAGUCUUCCCUGCUAAAGUCCUUGAAAAUGACAAAGGAAAAGGACUGUAGCUUCUUGUCACUCAAAGCAUGAUCCAGAUCCCACAGCACGGACGUCACCUUUGAACUUGGUAGAAAUGCAGAAGCUCAGACUCCUGUCCAGACGUAUGACUCAGAACCUGCAUUUUUAACUAGAUCCCAGGCCCAGUGGAAGUACGAAGGGACACGAAGGGGCACAUUCUUCUCUCCCGCCCCCGCCAUUCCCCAGUCCUCAUUCCAGCCAGCAGGACACGUGACAAGGCUCUGUGCAGGCUUCUUGGCCAUGGUUUCUGUUUCUCUUUGUCACAGGCUUUUGCUGAAAGCUACGGACAGAUUAUGGAUUGGCCUGGGUGUGAGUGCAGAGGCGCAAGAGGACCUGGUCUGAAAACUCUUCUCCUGUGAGAAGAGAGUCAGUGGGAGAGAAAGCGGACCAGAGGCAAUCAACCAGAGAGAGAGCAGUGAACAACAAUGGGCCAUGUAUCACACAGAAAGAUGCUGCUAAAGACAGCCUUCCCCUGGAAUCAGCAUUCAGCAAAAACUUUAAUUAGCUCAAGGCACUCCCACCCGGUAGUAUGUUCCAGAAUCUUGGUGCGAGGACAUUUGUAAUUUGCAAAAGUAAGUUCAAUAUUACAAGAUAAUUUUAUUUUUGGAAGGCAAACAAACAAAAGGAACCUCUAUUGUUUUAUACCAUAAACUAAAGGAAAUAAAGUUAGAUAAAAUCUUCCUGGCUGUGGGAUGUACAAAUGUUCUG